Molecule: non-coding RNA, 8725 nt
Organism: Myodes glareolus (Bank vole)
Lineage: Eukaryota; Metazoa; Chordata; Mammalia; Rodentia; Cricetidae
Source: RefSeq, a predicted model, not a curated record
UGUAAACUGUAGCUUAAUACUACAGGAUAAUCUUGUAGGCAUCAACUCAACCAAUCACAACAAUGAUGCUUCAGUCAAUGACAGGCUACCAAAGAAUCACAUGAUGGGACCAGCUGCCUAUAGCCAAUUGGGCUAGCUGUUCUGAACUGUUUGCUGCUCUUUGGCAGUUUAACUGCCCAGUCUGUGGUGCUGCUGGAUGGAGAAGAGGUCUGCCCUUGUUAAUCUAACUGCUGUCAGGUGUCCUACACUUGUUCUCACUUGGGAGGAAUAUAGAAGAGGUUGACGUCCAUGGUCCUGUGCAUACAUUGUCAGCUUUCCAGUCAGGAAGCUUUGAAUUAAACAGUGCUGGUCCAUGAUGUGCAACACUGCAUAUCCUCUACUGCAGGUCCAAAACUAUGGGGCCAGGGAACCAUGGACUACAAUCCCAGCAACUGCAAAUUUUGACCAGGCCACACAAGAUGUGAGGAAGCUGAAAAGCAGACCGAAAGAUGAAGAACUCAAAGAAAUCUACGGGCUCUACAAACAGUCCAUCAUCGGAGACAUCAACAUGGGUGGUACCUGAUGCUUGUUUUAGACAAAUAGAUGUACUUGUUCACAGUGUUUGUAGAAGUGCACAGUGAAAAGUAACAUUGCAACUCUCUCCUCUUGGCAGCAUGUCCAGUAAUGUUAGAUAUGAAGGGCAAGGCCAACUGGGAAGCGUGGAGCCUCCAGAAAGAUUUUUAAUUCUUAAAUAGGUUAACACAAACCUUCUUAAUCUCCGUCCACACGAGUCAGUAAGAUAACGUGUUUGUAUCUCUCUCGGGUGGUCGAAGGAAGAUGCAAUGAGGGCCUAUAUUUCUAAAGCAAGAGAGCUGAUCGAGAAAUACGGAAUUUAGAACUUGACAGGGGAGACAGAUCUCCUUUGAAUGCCUUCAUAAUAGCAACGUGGUGUAUAGGGGGAAAUGCAUUGACAACUGUAUAAAUCAUAUGUAUUUUCCUAUUAGCAUGGAUUCUAAUAUUCUAAUAUUUUGGAAUAUGUCAAUAUAAUUACCUAAUUUUGCUUGCUUGUGCAAGGUCACUUUAAAAAGUCAUUUUGUAGUCUAUGUAUAAGCGUUAAUAUGUUUCCUUUUUGCAUAUGUCUGUGUAUGAGUGUUCAUAUGUGUGUGUUACACAUUAUGUAUGCACACAUGUGGAGGCCAGAGAAUAACCUUGGCUGUUUUUUCUAAGAUAUGGUAUUUGCUUCCUGUGAGGCAGGGUCUCUCCUUGCUUGGAGCUCAACAAGUAUGCUAGACUGACUGCCCCAGAGAUCUCUUCCCCCUGCAUCCCCAGGACUGGGAUUACAAUGUGCUCCAUCAUGCUUGGCAAUCUGGGGCUUGAACUCGGGUCCUCGGGUUUACAGGCAAGCACUUUACUGACUGAACCAUCAAGGCUCAGUGUUUGUUUUCUUGACUUAAUCUGUUCUUAUACGAUGAGUUAGUGCUACUGGGCAAAAAGAAAAGUUUGUUCAGAAUGAGUGGCAGCCAGACCACUGUGAAUGCUUCAGGAAGCGGAGCCAGGAGGGUCAUGGGUUUAAGGACAGCCUAGACUACACGAGACCCUGUCCCAAAACAGGAAAGCCUAAGACUGAAGGAAAUUGUGAGUAGGUUGGAGAAACAGAACGGUUCAGUUCCUUUGCUGCACCAUGUACUGCGGACUCCCAUGAAUGUGGGCACUCUGGAGUGACAAGUGGAAUUGCAUCCAGGCCACUUCCUGGCUUCCUAUAUGAUAUGGAGAAAUUAACUAACCAGGCUGUGGUUUGGCUGCCCAUGGAAGGGCUCUGAGUGCCAGCCAAUCACUGCCAGGGCAGUGUGUUGUAAGCACCCCGAGGUCUUCCUUUCAUGAUGGGCAGUAAUUGUUUAGUAAUAUAUUUUGAUUUUAAAAAAGGCAAGUGCUCUUUCUUAUGCAGUAGGGCUAAUGUAUAUUUCUAUAGAUUCUAUAGAUUAGAUUACACUUUGAGUCACAGUGUGGUGAUGGAGAAAUGAUCAUUUCCCUCUGUCAAUCACUCUUGCCCCUAGAAUAGUGCAAGAGACUUCAGGUGUAACCCCACCUGAAGACACUUUGUUGAUAAAACUUUAUAUAAAAGUCACUCAAAUUAGAUUCUAAUAAAAAUGUAAAGGACACUAGCAGAAGUUUUCUUCCUCUAACAAUAUUUUUAUUUAUCCUUUGAAAUUUUCCUAAAUGCAUACAUGUGUUUUGAUCAUAUCCACCCCUCUCUUGCCUUUCCAACUCGCCCCUGACGGAUGUCCUCCAAUGUGUGCCCCUCCCAAUUCUAUGCCGCCCUUCUCAUCUUUUUAAACAGCGCACUGAGUCCAGUUUGUGCUGCCUGCUGUGUCAGGAGGGUGCACAUGGAGCAGAGAUGCUCCAUGAAGAAAUCCAUCAAUAUGCAUCUUUCCAGUGUCUGGAAACUAAAGCGCUGCAUCUCCAGGAGCUAGAGGCACAGCCUGUGGUGGGUUUCCAUGUUUGAAGGCCCCUCUAAGAGCAAGCGAGUAACGACACUUCCAAACACUUGGUUCUAUAGUUCUUGAUGAAGUUCUCAUUCUCAGGUUCCAACAGAUAAAAGUGGUCACCUGGCAGCAUGUGGCUGUCAACCUUCCCGCUGGUUAUGUCUUCCCAACCUAAGAAAUACACAGCGUUUUAUGUAGUAACAGAGGGCAUCAGCCAAGGACAGCAAACCUACUUCUGGUACUAAUUCACUAACAGCUGACAGUGAUAGAGUUACAUCCAGGGUCUCAGGUUCUGUUUAUCCCGUGUUUUUAAUCCCUUUAAGACCUACCAGUAUUCAGUCAUGUGAGCCAUAACUUAAAUUUUACAGGAGACCAACAUCUCUUUCUUUACACACAGGAAAACUUGGGCUGAUUUUCUGUCCGUUUCAGUGACUGUUAGCUGACAUAUACCAAGAACCCUCCAACAUAUCUUUCAAGAAAAUACCCCGAAUUAUAAAAGCAAUUUCACCUUUUAUGUCCUUGACCAUAUCUUCAGAUCCGAAAAAGCAUGUUAUGUCCUGAGAAAGAAGAGCCUCCGAGGGCGUGUCAAAGCUGUCAAUGUGAAAAGGCUAUUCAUAAUUUCAUCUUUAACAUCCCAGUCUGCUCCUCCUCCUGACCUCACUGAAAUGAAACAGGUUCUAUUCCAGGACAUAAGACUCUUGCAAUCUCUGCAGGUGCCUUCCAAACUCGGAUCCAUGCCUAUAGCGGUUGCCAAGAUGCCAGCCAUGUGGAAAGCAAGUUCCAAAAUGGUUGACUUGGUGUUCAAGUUGCUCUGUUUCUUAGAGGAACUGAACCUUGUAGCAUGAGUGUGGCCUUCCUGUCCAAGAGCUGUAGCCAUCGGUGCACUGCAAGCUGAAGAAGCUUCUACACUGUCUGUGGGUUGGGUCAGUCACCAGAACCUUAGGCCUCACCAGACAAAGCUGUACUAGAAUUGAGGGAGCACCUGUGAUUGACCAUAAGUAUGCUAACCAAAUAUGAAGCAAUCCUCCCAGACAACCAGAGGUGACUAUUAAAGCCUGAGGAAUGCUAAUGUCUGCCCCCUUGUUUCCCAUGGUAACUUCUUCCAAUUUGGAAUAUUUGUGUGGUGAGAUCAUUUCUCCCAUAGGUUUCACCUAAGUAACCAGACCCUGCAUAACACAGAGACACUGUUUGCUGGUGGAAGUGGUCCUGUUCUAAGUGGAGCGUAUGAAGCUCUCCCAGAAGAGAGAGGUCAGCCAAAAGGAGAAAUUGAGAGCUGGGUGUUGUUGUUGUACGCCUUUAAUCCCAGCACUUAGGAAGCAGAAGCAAGCAGAUCUCUGCUGAGUUCAAGGUCUGCUUGGUCUAUAAAGCUAGUGCCAGGACAACCAGGGCUGUUACACAAUGAAACCCUGUCUCAACAAAACAAAACAAAACAAAAAAAGUAAUUGAAACUAAUUGAAACCUCCCUACUACCUCUUUCCGUCUCCAUCUAAAAGACUGACUUUGCAUAAUCCUGAUAAGAUUCUUUUGAGGGAAGGAAAAUUAUUUACACUACAUUGGCUCAAAAUGUGCAUUCACCAGCAGGAAAAAUGGGUAAAGGUGCCAUGAAGCCUGUUGACCUGAGUUCAAUUCCUAGAACCCAGGCAAUGGAAAGAGGCCACUGACUCUUGCAAGUUAUCCUCUGACCACUAUGGCACAUGUGCAGACACACACACAUGCAAAUUAAUAUUUUUGUCAAGAAUGGCCGUGAUGCUAUCUGGAAGAAUCAAGAAUUGUUAAUGGUCAGCAAUUCACCCAUAAGACAUAAACAAGAUAUUGUAAGUAUAUGGACAGCAUCCAAAUCCCCAAUUAAGUGAUAAUCAUCUACUUCAAGGGCCAUCAGAAGGAUAUGCCUGAUGGUGCCCAAGAAAAUAGACCGGCAAACAGUGAAACAGAAAAAAAGGCAGUCUUAGCUGGGCUAAGCACUUGGGAACAGGAAGGCUAACAGAUCUGUGAAUUCAAGGUCAACCUAGUCUACAUAGAGAGUUCUAGGACAGCCAGAACUACAUAGUGAGACCCUGCCUCAAAAAAUAAAAUGAAGUCUUCCAAGUCCUUUGACUGUUUACUCCUGGAGAAGGAAUGGGCUCAAGAUCAAGGGGACAUCCAACCAAAGUGCUCAUUAGUCUUUGUUGAUAAUAAAGUACUGUUACCCCUGUAGGGUAGAAUGGCCAGCCAAACAAACACACCCUGACCUAGAACUAGAGCCAUCCAAACAAACACACCCCACCCCUAAAACCAGAGCCAAAGAAAUAUACAUUGACCUGAAACCAGAGCCAGGGAAAGAAAUGCACCAUGGUCCUGAAACUAGAGGCAAAAAGUUAAAAAAGGGCCAGUGAAAGAAACACACUUUGGUCCUGAAACCAGAACCAAAGAAACAUACUCUGCCCUUGACCAAUGAGCACAAAACCAACCAGUCCCUGAGCAGGAAAACCAACCAACUCCUGAGCAUGAAAUCCAGACAAUUUCUGAGCUUGUCCAAGCUCAGGGAUUGAAAUCUGACCUGAAAAUCUCCCUGGAAAAACUCUGCCCCUAAGAAGCCCUAUAUAAGCCCUGUGCCUGUUCAGUUGGCAGCUGCCCUUUUCUACCCUGGCAGAGGCAGCCAUUCUCCUGGAUUCCUCCUUCCCAAUAAAUCUCUUGAAUGAAUUUUGGGUGGAGAUCUUCUUUUGCCAGAACAGAGCAGAGAAGCAACAGACAUCUCUGCUGGGAAACAUUGUUAGCAGAGUGGAGGAGAGCUGAGCUGUAAAGGCUCUCUAAGAGAGGAGCAGGCUUGCCACAUCCUGCCGGGAGCUCACCCCCCACAGAAGCACUGUAGGUAUAGUCUGACUUCCCAACAGGACACUUUUCCCUUCACAGCUGUAGAUACAGUCUGGCAUGCAGCAGUCGUAUAUAGAGCUGUAGGUAUCCAGGACACCAUCCCUUCACCGCCGGAGGUAUGGCCCAACUUCCAACAGUCGGGAUACCUUUCCCUCCAGAGCUGUAACACAUGCGAUCCCAAGUCCUACAAUGGAAAAUAAUUAAGGAACACAAGACUCAUUUCACGUGGGAAAAGACAUCACUCUAAGUGUUAUCUCAACUGUUCUUCCAACAAGAUUGACUGGCACGGUGAAAAAUGUAUGUCAGGGUCAAGCCUGUAUACCCUGCUUACAGAACAGCUCCGGUCACCCUACUCCUCCACCAAGCCUUGAGCCAGAUCAGGGGAAAUGCACCUUGCCGCAUGAGGAUUGGCAGGUAGACUUUACUCAUAUGCCCUCUUGUGCCAGCUUCAAGUUGGUGUUGGUAGACGCCGGGACUGGCUGGAUCCAGGCUGAGAAGGUGACUACAGUGGCAAGGGCUACCCUAAAAGGAAUUAUACCAGGGUCUGACCUCACCCACUCGUCCCAGGGAGACAGUGGAUCGUCAUUUACUUCACAGGGAACUCAGUCUAUAUCUAGAGCUCUGGGAAGAAAUACUAUCUGCACUCUGCUCAGAGAGCACUGUCUUCAGGCAAAACUGAAAUGACUAACCAAACCAUUAAAUAGGUUCUAGGGAAGCUUUGCCAGGAAUUCUCUGAGGAUUACCUAUCACCCUCAUGAGAGUUAAAACAGCUCCAGUGUCUAAUGCUGGGAUCAGACCGUAGAGUUACUGUAAAGCAGGCCCUUUGUCAUCUGACCAGGUAGAGAACAGACCUAAGACAAACCCAACAAGCCCUAUACAAAAAUGGAAACAAGGUUAUACUCAAACCAAACGGUGGAACCUGAAAGACUGUGAACCCUAGAGACUGGGUUCCUCCUUAAAACCUAGAAAGAUGGACCCGCAGAAUAGUUGGGUCCUCAAUUGAAUGGACCUUUCCAAGUGGUCCUAAGUGCCCUCCAUAGUUAGCAAACUGCUGGCAAUUGACAGCUGUGUUCCAACCCCUCCAGAGUAGUCCUAAAGGAUACCCUGCCCCUGAAGACCCAGAAGAGAACAGCUACACCUGUGCACUCCUGAAAGCUCUUGAACUUCCCUUGACAAAACAAUGUAACCUCCUGACUGCUGGCUGGGGCUGUUCUGAAACCUGUCCUGCUCUGGCUCUUCAUGUUUCUCUCUCCUGGAACCAGAGUCCUGCACUUAACCACGGAGAGUCAUGUGCUCACGGAAGAAUGGAACCUUUUCUCCUUCUCAAAGCAAAACAUCACCCCUGAUGAUGUUUCUCCUGCUUUUGCCGUCUUCUUUGCUCUUUUGAGGAAUAAGCAUCUGCUGGCUCCCAUCUUAAACAGGGUGUUGACCUGUUUAAAUCCUACCAAAUCCUCUAAUUGUUGACUUUUUCUUAAGUUGCAUCAACUUCACAAGGGAUAACCACCCUUGAGAGUCUUCCAAUGUUGUAUGGGAAAUUGUCCACACUACAACCCCGUAUGGAGGUCUUAAACAGACCCUAUAUAGACCCUAUAUAAGGAGAACCUUAUGAAUGUGGUGAGAGUGGUCCCAGAUGGAAGGAUUCAACUGGAAGGCUGCUCCCUUAGGACACAUCUUCAAGUCAGAAGGCUACAUGAACUUACUUUUUAAAAAAAGUUUCCUAAUUUGAAUGGAACUGGCUCAUUUGUAGAUACUUGAAAAAGUUUCCCUGCCCAGUUCCAGUGUGCAAUUUAUAUGAGAAUAAGAAUGACCUGACUCUCUCAAAGGCUGGAUACAGCAAAUGCAUCCAUGGAUAUACACUGCCCAGAUGAGUACCUUGGUUCAAUAAAGUAUCUUUGACAAUGAUGGGUGGAAAGCUGUAAUACUUUUGGGUCCCAUUACAUAUGAGGCAGAAGAUGGGGUGGUUUUCUCCAUGAACUGCCAGACUGUACACAUCAGUGAAGGGAGGGGAGCCCCUGAUCCUCAAGGAAACACUGUACAUUGAUGGGUAGGUAAAGGGAAACCCCUUGCAGUGGAGUGCAUUAACCUACCUUCCAAAGACAGGGAAUGUCUGCAAUGAUAAAAGCUAAGGUUCCAGCAGUCAGUGGGCCAAAUUCCAAUCAAUACGGAUCUUAAUAACAAGGGCAGAAAAUCCUAAUUCAAUGCAUUGACAGUGGGUCAUUUCCAAGAGUCCUACACUGUAGCUUCCUCAGUGGCAGACUCAAAGAUGGGUGGGGCAGGAUUUGUGGAAACACUUGGUGUUCUACGGCUUACCAAUCCUUAGUCACCUAAAUGCGACAAAGUUGAUCAAGUUGCCAAGAUCAAAUGGUUUGAAGAAUUCUACCUGAAGAUGUAGCCUCCUAGCUGCAAAGCUGAAUUUAACACAGAAGCUAGAGAACCACGUGGGCUGGCGCUCUGCAUCAGGGGUUCACGUCAGUGUGAUAGCCAUCACAUGCUCUUGCCAGCAAUGUGUGCUCAGGAGUACUCAAAGUGCCAUUGGGAGAGGGAAUCCACCCUUUUGGAGAUGGCAGAGAGACCACGCCAAUCCUGUACCAAGCUCAGGGAAAGAUGCUUUGGCAGAUUCUGACAUGACACUGCCACCAGACGUCAAAUGUUUGUCAUGAUUUUCCCAGUAAAGAGCCACCUAGAAGAUGACAAAACCAGAACUUACCAGGUUGAACUUGAGGUAUAAACCCCCUCAGAUAGGAGAAAGUGACCAAAGUACCUACUUCACAAGACAUGAAGGAUAACAGUGAGCUAAUAAAUGACUGAGACAAACUUCAGAUCUUCUACCUGCAGGACUCACCCAGGGGAGAAUUAAUGCAGGCUUUACAGACCCACUCCUACUCUAUGUAAGGUGGACUAUGACUUGGGAAGUCUCCAUAGAAACGCUUCAAAAAGACAAGCUAGUGGCAAUGCCACCGUCAGCCACCUACAGUUCCCUGCUCUAAAACUACGAAUUAAAAAGGACAGACCCCUCGAGCCAAAGCAGAGACAUGACAGCAAUUCAUCGUGUAUGGAUACAGCCAAUAGAACAGUAGACACAGGAUGCCUGAUGCGGCCCUGGGAAGCCUGAAUGAGCCCUGGAUAGUUCACACUAUCAACUCCGCAAGGGGAAGACCAGGUGAGACAUUUACAUUUAACUGUCCUCUACCAUGUUGUGAACAUGGUCUAGCAAGAUUUAGGCAUUUGGGAGGGAAUUAUUCCUAAAGAGACAUACAUAAUAAUACGACAGUGACACCUUCCUAUGGUAUCCUUUCCCUUUCCGUCCCCUAAUAAAUUUAACCGUGCUUUUCUUGUGUGAUGAAUGAUAUAGCUGCUGUAGCAACCAGAUAUAGUGCCUGGUGCUUUUUCUCAGGGACAAAUGGAAGAUUCAG